GUACGCUAUUCAGAGUUUGAUCCUGGCUCAGAUUGAACGCUGGCGGCAUGCUUUACACAUGCAAGUCGAGCGGCAGCGCGGGGCAACCUGGCGGCGAGCGGCGAACGGGUGAGGAAUACAUCGGAACGUACCCGAGAGUGGGGGAUAACGCCGCGAAAGCGGCGCUAAUACCGCAUAUUCUCCGAGGAGGAAAGUGGGGGACCGCAAGGCCUCACGCUCACGGAGCGGCCGAUGUCGGAUUAGCUAGUUGGUGGGGUAAAGGCUUACCAAGGCGACGAUCCGUAGCUGGUCUGAGAGGAUGAUCAGCCACACUGGGACUGAGACACGGCCCAG
RNAcentral lists this ribosomal RNA (333 nucleotides) under uncultured bacterium. RNAcentral's name for it is "bacterial SSU rRNA". It matches the Rfam family "Bacterial small subunit ribosomal RNA", at positions 1 to 334 of the family's 1533-position model. The record is from RNAcentral.